AUUUGAUGAUGUGGGCAACUGGCACACAGUUGUUUAAAGCGCUCCCAGUACUCAUAUAGAGUUUCCCCAUUCGCCUGCCUAACUCCACAUAUUUCUUUCCUUAUAUU
This is a small nucleolar RNA of Coffea eugenioides, 107 nucleotides long. Lineage: Eukaryota; Viridiplantae; Streptophyta; Magnoliopsida; Gentianales; Rubiaceae. The record is from RefSeq and is a predicted model, not a curated record.